RNAcentral lists this ribosomal RNA (1568 nucleotides) under Micronycteris megalotis (little big-eared bat). RNAcentral's name for it is "16S ribosomal RNA". It matches the Rfam family "Bacterial large subunit ribosomal RNA", at positions 396 to 2831 of the family's 2925-position model. Lineage: Eukaryota; Metazoa; Chordata; Mammalia; Chiroptera; Phyllostomidae. The record is from RNAcentral.
GCAGUACUUAGCCCAAACACCAACCAAUACAACUACCAACACCAACUAAAAUAAAACAUUCACUACAUCCAAAAGUAUAGGAGAUAGAAAUUCUAAUUGGCGCUAUAGAGACAGUACCGCAAGGGAACAAUGAAAGAAACAACCAAAGCACUAAACAGCAAAGCUUACCCCUUCUACCUUUUGCAUAAUGAUUUAACUAGAACAACUUAGCAAAGAGAACUUAAGUUAACACCCCCGAAACCAGACGAGCUAUUCACGAGCAGCACAAAAAGAGCAAACUCAUCUAUGUAGCAAAAUAGUGAGAAGACUUAUGAAUAGAGGUGAGAAGCCUACCGAGCCUGGUGAUAGCUGGUUGUCCAGAAAUGAAUUUUAGUUCAAACUUAAGCUUACCUAACAGAGUCUCAACUCAACUGUAAACUUAAGAGAUAGUCUAAAAGGGGACAGCCUUUUAGACACGGGUUACAACCCUCACUAGAGAGUAAGUAUAAAAACAGACCAUAGUUGGCCUAAAAGCAGCCACCAAUAAAGAAAGCGUUCAAGCUCAACAACACAACCAUCUAAAUCCCAAAAACAACAACUAACUCCUAGCACAAAACUGGACCACUCUAUAACAAUAUAGAAGAGACACUGUUAAUAUGAGUAACAAGAAAUUAUUUCUCCCCGCACAAGUGUAUAUCAGACCGGAUACCCACUGAUAGUUAACAAGUACAAAGCAAACCAAGCUACAAGCCCUUUUCACACCCAACUGUUAACCCAACACAGGCGUGCCCCAGGGAAAGAUCAAAAGAAGUGAAAGGAACUCGGCAAACACAAACCCCGCCUGUUUACCAAAAACAUCACCUCUAGCAUACCUAGUAUUAGAGGCACUGCCUGCCCAGUGACAUACGUUCAACGGCCGCGGUAUCCUGACCGUGCAAAGGUAGCAUAAUCACUUGUUCCCUAAAUAGGGACUUGUAUGAAUGGCCACACGAGGGUUUUACUGUCUCUCACCUCCGAUCAGUGAAAUUGACCUCUCCGUGAAGAGGCGGAGAUACCAUAAUAAGACGAGAAGACCCUAUGGAGCUUUAAUUAACUAGCCUAAACAGAACACUAUCAACUCCGACAAAGGAACAAACAAACCUUUAACAUAGGCUAGCAAUUUAGGUUGGGGUGACCUCGGAGCACAAAAAACCCUCCGAGCAAUACAAACUUAGACCUACCAGUCAAAAUGCAUACCACUUAUUGAUCCAAAAACUUGAUCAACGGAACAAGUUACCCUAGGGAUAACAGCGCAAUCCUAUUUAAGAGUCCCUAUCGACAAUAGGGUUUACGACCUCGAUGUUGGAUCAGGACACCCUAAUGGUGCAGCAGCUAUUAACGGUUCGUUUGUUCAACGAUUAAAGUCCUACGUGAUCUGAGUUCAGACCGGAGUAAUCCAGGUCGGUUUCUAUCUAUUACCACUAAGCCUCUCCCAGUACGAAAGGACCAGAGAGACAAGGCCCACUUUACCAGAAGCGCCUUCAAGAAUCAACAGAUGACACAAUCUCAAUCUGACUUCAACAAAUAUUAUUCCCCAAAAUCAGGGCUCA